UUAGCGAUUUAAUUACAACUCCAAACCCCUGUGACUUACCUAUGUUGCCUUGGCAGGUCGUGGUGUGUAGCGUGAUCGCUAUAAGGGAUCACCGCCUCGCACCACGCUGAAAGACCUGUCAAAGGACCCCUAAACUCUGUCUUACAACUGUAUCUCUGAGUCUAUUAUAUAAACAAGUUAAAACUUUCAACAACGGAUCUCUUGGCUCUGGCAUCGAUGAAGAACGCAGCGAAAUGCGAUAAGUAAUGUGAAUUGCAGAAUUCAGUGAAUCAUCGAAUCUUUGAACGCACAUUGCGCCUGAUAGUAUUCUGUCAGGCAUGCCUGUUCGAGCGUCAUUUCAACCCCCAAGCCCUAAUCUGCUUGACGUUGGGAGUUUACGGAGACGUAAUUCCUUAAAUAUAGUGGCGGAGCUAGGUCGUGCUCUAAGCGUAGUAACCACACUCUCGCUUCUGCAGCCGGCCUAGGUCUUGCCGUAAAACCCCUAUAUUUAUUUUUUUACUGGUUGACCUCGGAUCAGGUAGGAAUACCCGCUGAACUUAAGCAUAUCUA
This 549-nucleotide ribosomal RNA is filed under the name Biscogniauxia mediterranea. RNAcentral describes it as "eukaryotic LSU rRNA". The stretch from base 182 to 335 matches the Rfam family "5.8S ribosomal RNA". The record is from RNAcentral. Lineage: Eukaryota; Fungi; Ascomycota; Sordariomycetes; Xylariales; Xylariaceae.